AUGGAUGUAGUUCAAUGGUAGAACACCGGACUUUUAAUCCGUAUGUUGAAGGUUCGAGUCCUUUCAUCCGUA
This 72-nucleotide transfer RNA is filed under the name Batrachochytrium salamandrivorans. RNAcentral's name for it is "tRNA-Lys". It matches the Rfam family "tRNA". Rfam says of the family: Transfer RNA (tRNA) molecules are approximately 80 nucleotides in length. Lineage: Eukaryota; Fungi; Chytridiomycota; Chytridiomycetes; Rhizophydiales. The record is from RNAcentral.